This 494-nucleotide ribosomal RNA is filed under the name uncultured bacterium. RNAcentral describes it as "bacterial SSU rRNA". It matches the Rfam family "Bacterial small subunit ribosomal RNA", at positions 36 to 524 of the family's 1533-position model. The record is from RNAcentral.
UUGGGGAACUGGCGGCGUGCNUACAAUGCNAGUCGAGCGAGAACUUAUGAAUGAAACUUCGGUCGAAUGAAUAAGUGGAAAGCGGCGGACGGGUGAGUAACGCGUAGGCAACCUGCCCUUAGCAGGGGGAUAGCCAUUGGAAACGAUGAUUAAAACCCCAUAAUACGGAUUUAUCACAUGUUGAAUUCGUCAAAGAUUUAUCGGCUAAGGAUGGGCCUGCGUCUGAUUAGGUAGUUGGUGAGGUAACGGCCCACCAAGCCUACGAUCAGUAGCCGACCUGAGAGGGUGAUCGGCCACAUUGGAACUGAGACACGGUCCAAACUCCUACGGGAGGCAGCAGUGGGGAAUAUUGCACAAUGGGCGAAAGCCUGAUGCAGCAACGCCGCGUGAAGGAUGAAGGUCUUCGGAUCGUAAACUUCUGUCCUUGGGGAAGAAAAGAUGACGGUACCCAUGGAGGAAGCCCCGGCUAACUACGUGCCAGCAGCCGCGGUAAU